UCCCCAGACUCCUACGGGAGGCAGCAGUGAGGAAUAUUGGUCAAUGGCCGGGAGGCUGAACCAGCCAAGUCGCGUGAGGGAAGACGGCCCUACGGGUUGUAAACCUCUUUUGCCAGGGAGCAAGGUGCAGGUCGGGACCUGCUGUGAGAGUACCUGAAGAAAAAGCAUCGGCUAACUCCGUGCCAGCAGCCGCGGUAAUACGGAGGAUCCAAGCGUUAUCCGGAUUUAUUGGGUUUAAAGGGUGCGUAGGCGGAUUGAUAAGUUAGAGGUGAAAUGUCCGAGCUUAACCCGGGAACUGCCUCUAAUACUGUUGAUCUAGAGAGUAGAUGCGGUAGGCGGAAUGUAUGGUGUAGCGGUGAAAUGCUUAGAGAUCAUACAGAACACCGAUUGCGAAGGCAGCUUACCAAUCUAUAUCUGACGUUGAGGCACGAAAGCGUGGGGAGCAAACAGGAUUAGAUACCCUCGUACA
Molecule: ribosomal RNA, 469 nt
Filed under: uncultured bacterium
Lineage: Bacteria
Description: bacterial SSU rRNA
Rfam family: Bacterial small subunit ribosomal RNA
Source: RNAcentral